Molecule: ribosomal RNA, 253 nt
Filed under: uncultured bacterium
Lineage: Bacteria
Description: partial 16S ribosomal RNA
Rfam family: Bacterial small subunit ribosomal RNA
Source: RNAcentral
UACGGAGGGGGCUAGCGUUGUUCGGAAUUACUGGGCGUAAAGGGCGCGUAGGCGGUUCUGUAAGUCCCGCGUGAAAUCCCCCGGCUCAACUGGGGAACUGCGCGGGAAACUGUGGGGCUAGAGUUCAGGAGAGGGAAGCGGAAUUCCGGGUGUAGCGGUGAAAUGCGUAGAUAUCCGGAGGAACACCGGUGGCGAAGGCGGCUUCCUGGACUGACACUGACGCUGAGGCGCGAAAGCUAGGGGAGCAAACGGG